AGACAUAAAGGUGUCUGAUAAAAUUGGAACUACACACAGAAGAAUACCUAGCCCCUGUGCAACGAAAACAAGCACAAAUCAAGAAAUGGUCCAAAUAUUU
Small nuclear RNA from Cornus florida, 100 nucleotides. NCBI's taxonomy places the organism in Eukaryota, Viridiplantae, Streptophyta, Magnoliopsida, Cornales, Cornaceae. The record is from RefSeq and is a predicted model, not a curated record.